GACGAACGCUGGCGGCGUGCUUAACACAUGCAAGUCGAACGGAAAGGCCCCUUUGGGGGUACUCGAGUGGCGAACGGGCGGGUAACACGUGCGUAACCUGCCCUUGACUUCGUGUUAACUUCAUGAAACUGGGGCUAAUACCGGCUAGGAAUCAUUGCUGCAUGGAGGGGGUUGGAAAGCUUCUGCCGUUUUGGAUGGACUCACGGCCUAUCAGCUUGUUGGUGGGGUAGUUGCUUACCCAGGCUUUGACGGGCGGCCGGCCUGAGAGGGGGACCGGCCCACAUUGGGCUGGGGUACGGCCCCGGCUCCUACCGGAGGCAGCAGGGGGGAAUAUUGCCCCAUUGGCGGGAGCCUGGUGCAGGAACGCCGCGUGCGGGAUGACGGCCUUCGGGUUGUAAACCGCUUUCAGCAGGGGACGAGCUUGUGGUGACGGUACCUGCAGAAGAAGCACCGGCUAACUACGUG
This 465-nucleotide ribosomal RNA is filed under the name uncultured bacterium. RNAcentral's name for it is "partial 16S ribosomal RNA". It matches the Rfam family "Bacterial small subunit ribosomal RNA", at positions 28 to 507 of the family's 1533-position model. The record is from RNAcentral.